CGGCGAGUGAAGCGGCAACAGCUCAAAUUUGAAAUCUGGCUCCUUUUAGGGGUCCGAGUUGUAAUUUGCAGAGGGUGCUUUGGCAUCGGCGGCGGUCUAAGUUCCUUGGAACAGGACAUCACAGAGGGUGAGAAUCCCGUACGUGGGCGCCUGCCUUUGCCGUGUAAAGCCCCUUCGACGAGUCGAGUUGUUUGGGAAUGCAGCUCUAAAUGGGAGGUAAAUUUCUUCUAAAGCUAAAUACCGGCCAGAGACCGAUAGCGCACAAGUAGAGUGAUCGAAAGAUGAAAAGUACUUUGGAAAGAGAGUCAAAUAGCACGUGAAAUUGUUGAAAGGGAAGCGCUUGCAGCCAGACUUGCCCGCAGUUGCUCACCUAGGCUUUGGCCUGGGGCACUCUUCUGCGGGCAGGCCAGCAUCAGUUUGGGCGGUCGGAUAAAGGCCUCUGUCACGUAUCUCCCUUCGGGGUGACCUUAUAGGGGAGGCGUAAUGCGACCAGCCCGGACUGAGGUCCGCGCAUCUGCUAGGAUGCUGGCGUAAUGGCUGUAAGCGGCCCGUCUUGAAACACGGACCAAGGAGUCUAACAUCUAUGCGAGUGUUUGGGUGUCAAGCCCGAGCGCGCAAUGAAAGUGAACGGAGGUGGGAACCCUUUGGGUGCACCAUCGACCGAUCCUGAUGUCUUCGGAUGGAUUUGAGUAAGAGCAUAGCUGUUGGGACCCGAAAGAUGGUGAACUAUGCUUGAAUAGGGUGAAGCCAGAGGAAACUCUGGUGGAGGCUCGCAGCGGUUCUGACGUGCAAAUCGAUCGUCAAAUUUGGGCAUAGGGGCGAAAGACUAA
Molecule: ribosomal RNA, 830 nt
Filed under: Chromolaenicola ananasi
Lineage: Eukaryota; Fungi; Ascomycota; Dothideomycetes; Pleosporales; Didymosphaeriaceae
Description: Chromolaenicola sp. DB-2023a partial large subunit ribosomal RNA
Rfam family: Eukaryotic large subunit ribosomal RNA
Source: RNAcentral